Molecule: long non-coding RNA, 310 nt
Organism: Neltuma alba
Lineage: Eukaryota; Viridiplantae; Streptophyta; Magnoliopsida; Fabales; Fabaceae
Exons: 4
Source: RefSeq, a predicted model, not a curated record
GGCAGUCUUCAAUGGUCCAUUUAAAGGGUUUGAUAUCUUGGUCAUUUGUGAUGCAUACUCUCCUAAUGGAGAACCCUUCCACACAAACAAGAGAUAUGAUGCUGCAAUAAUAUAUUGUCAUCAUGAUGUUGCUACUCAAUACCCUUGGAUUGUUAUUCAGCAAGAAUACGCCUUGGUGCCACUUGAUGGUCAAUCUCCUGCAUCUCAGGGACAAUGUUACCCUGAUGCUGGUGCUGUCAAUGAUAUUGUGAGAGAACAUUAUAGUGCCUGCUUAUCUGCUGGCAUCGGCAUUAGCGGAACUAAUGGAAGA